UACGUAGGGGGCUAGCGUUGUCCGGAAUCAUUGGGCGUAAAGCGCGUGUAGGCGGCCCGGUAAGUCCGCUGUGAAAGUCGGGGGCUCAACCCUCGAAUGCCGGUGGAUACUGUCGGGCUCGAGUACGGGAGAGGCGAGUGGAAUUCCUGGUGUAGCGGUGAAAUGCGCAGAUAUCAGGAAGAACACCUAUGGCGAAGGCAGCACUCUGGGACGGUACUGACGCUGAGACGCGAAAGCGUGGGGAGCGAACAGG
RNAcentral lists this ribosomal RNA (253 nucleotides) under uncultured bacterium. RNAcentral's name for it is "partial 16S ribosomal RNA". It matches the Rfam family "Bacterial small subunit ribosomal RNA", at positions 524 to 776 of the family's 1533-position model. The record is from RNAcentral.